Molecule: ribosomal RNA, 242 nt
Filed under: uncultured bacterium
Lineage: Bacteria
Description: partial 16S ribosomal RNA
Rfam family: Bacterial small subunit ribosomal RNA
Source: RNAcentral
GCGACCGGCGCACGGGUGAGUAACACGUAUCCAACCUGCCGACAACACUGGGAUAGCCUUUCGAAAGAAAGAUUAAUACCGGAUGGCAUAGUUUUCCCGCAUGGGAUGAUUAUUAAAGAAUUUCGGUUGUCGAUGGGGAUGCGUUCCAUUAGGCAGUUGGCGGGGUAACGGCCCACCAAACCAACGAUGGAUAGGGGUUCUGAGAGGAAGGUCCCCCACAUUGGAACUGAGACACGGUCCAA